AGUCAUUUAGGUGGAAUGAAAGCUCUAGCUCUAGAACUGGUAGCUCAUCAAGUUCUAUCACUUUACAUGAUAGAGAGGAAGCCAGUCCAAGAAGCAUAUCAAGAAACAUUUGGGAUCCUAUGUUUGUGCCUGCAACUGAGUUGAGAACCUCAGUUAGAAAUCCAACAAACAGAAGUGUAACUGGUGGAAAUGCUUGUGUUCCUGGAAAUGUUGCUUCUACAUCACGGUCUGGCUCAAGUUCAGUUGUCCAUCCUUUAUCAGCUCCAACUUGGGUUUCUCAUCAAAAUCCUACUUCAAGAAAUUCACGGAGAUUAGCUGAAUAUGUUCGUCGAUCUCUAUUUGCUUCUGCUGGUGCUGAUUCUGGAGGCCAGAGCAGUACUCAUUCUCCACUGCAUUCAGGUCCUUCUGGAACCUCGGAAGAGGCAAUGAUUUCUUCUGGAGUUGGUAACCAAGUGCAUCAUCGAUCAUAUCCAAGGUCAUCAAUGUGGAUGGAGAGACAGGUGGAUGGUGUACUUGGAAUUCCUUAUCCUUUGCGAACUCUGGCUGCUGCCAGUGAAGGAAGAAGCAGGCAUCUUGUGUCUGAG
Molecule: unclassified non-coding RNA, 584 nt
Filed under: Hevea brasiliensis (rubber tree)
Lineage: Eukaryota; Viridiplantae; Streptophyta; Magnoliopsida; Malpighiales; Euphorbiaceae
Source: RNAcentral